UUGAGCAACAGUAUUUAAAGUAAGUAUAAGUUAGCCAGUUGUAAUGAAUAUGUUGUUGUUAGCUGCCAUUAACCCCGUGCACAACAGAACAAAGCAUUGCCAGGUCCUGUGCCAGCCCCAUGAUCAGUUGCUGAUAGGACCAUUGUGAUCCAUAGGGUUUUCGUUGACUGAUUUUCUUACAUAGGUAGCAAGGCCUUUCUUCCUAGUCUUUCUUAGCCUGGAAACUCUGCUGAAACCUGUUCAGCAGCAUGCAAAUCUCCACUUUCAGACAGGUGGUGGCUGUGCAUGAGGUGCAUUAGCCCGGAAUCAAAUCCUGGUCUUGUGCCUGGAAUAGGCAAACAUAAUAAACACUACCUCAUUCCCUUCUCAUCCCUCCUGUCAUUGGAUGCCACGUGGUGUUUAAACGGGGACUUUCUAGAGUUUAGGUUUGGAGAGAUGUUGUGAAACAAGCACUGGACUUGGAGUCAGAGGGCCUGACUGAAUUCUGACGACAUGAUUCACUAAGCACACGGCUUUAGAUUUAUCCCCACGGGCAUUCGUUUUCAUCAUUUGUGAAAUGGGAUCAUGAUACUGUGAACACAAGGAAGCUGUCAAGACUGAAUGAGAUAUGGAUGUGAAAGUGCUUUAUGUACUGAACCCACCAACUGCUCAAAGGAACAAAGAUGUGGCAGUCUGCUUCUGUAAAGAUUACAGCCUUGGAAACCCUAUGGGGAAGUUCUACUCCGCCACAUGGGGCCACCAUGAGUCAGCAUAGACUUGAUGGCUACGAGUUUGGUUUUGGAUUGUGGGCAGAGAAGUCAGCGCUGCAGAAUGAAGUGUGAUAGCAGAGCAUUGGUUCCUCGUGGUGUAGGCAGGAGAUGCCAACAUAGUCUCAAGUGUCCACCUGAUCCAGGAAGCUCCCUCCUCACAAGCAUCCCUCUCCAACCCAACGUCCAGUCCAAUCACUAUCUGAAGAGUUGGCUUUAGGAAUGGUUCCUAUCCCGGGCCAACAGAAGGUAUGGGGACAAUGACCACCAGGGUCCUUCUAGUCUCAGUCAGACCAUUAAGUCUGGUCUUUUUAUGAGAAUUUGGGGUCUGAUCCCACUGCUCUCUUGUUCCCUCAGGGGUUCUCUGUUGUGUUCCCUGUCAGGGCAGUCAUCGUUUGUAGCCGGGCAUUAUCUAGCUCUUCUGGUCUCAGGCUGAUGUAGUCUCUGCUUUAUGUGGCGCUUUCUGUCUCUUGGGCUCAUAAUUGCCUUCUGUCCUUGGUGUUCUUCAUUCUCUUUUGAUCCAGGUGGGUUGAGACCAAUUGAUGCAUCUUAGAUGGCUGCUUGCUAACAUUUAAGACCCCAGACACCACUCUCCAAAGUAGGAUGCAAAAUGUUUUCUUAAUAGAUUUUAUUACGCCAAUUGACUUAGAUGUCCCCUGAAACCUUGGUCCCCAAAACCCCGCCCCUCCUAUGCUGGCUUUGAAGCAUUCAGUUUAUUCAGGAAACUUCUUUGCUUUUGGUUCAGUCCAGUCGUGCUGUAUUGUGUGUUGUCUUUCCCGUCACCUAAAUAGUUCUCAUCUACUAUCUAAUUAGUGAAUACCCCUCUCCCUCCCCCCCAUAACCAUCAAACAAUAUUUUCUUCUCUGUUUAAAAUAUUUUUCGAGUUCUUAUAACAGUGGUGUUAUACAAUAUUUGUCCUUUUGCAACUAAUUUCACUCAGCAUAAUGCCUUCCAGAUUCCUCCCUGUUAUGAAAUGUUUCACAGAUUCAUCACUGUUCUUUAUCGAUGCGUAGUAUUCCAUUGUGUAAAUGUACCCUAAUUUAUCCAUUCAUCUGUUGAUGGGCGCUUUGGUUGCUUCCAUCUUUUUGCUACUGUAAACAGUGCUGCAAUGAACAUGGGUGUGCAUUUAUCUGUGUAAAGUCUCUUCUUUCUCUAGGAUAUAUUCCAAGGAGCGGGAUUGCUAGAUCAUAUGGUAGUUCUAUUUCUAGCUUUUUAAGGAAGUGUCAAAUCAAUUUCCAAAGUGGUUGUACCAUUUUACAUUCCCACCAGCAGUAUAUAAGUCUUCCAGUCUCUCCAUAACCUCUCCAACAUUGAUUAUUUCAUGUUUUUUGGAAAAAUGCCAGCCUUGUUGGAGUGAGAUGGAAUCUCAUUGUAGUUUUGAUUUGCAUUUCUGGAAUGGCUAAUAAUCAUGAGCAUUUCCUCAUGUAUCUGUUAGCUACCUGAAUGUCUUCUUUAGUGAAGUGUCUGUUCAUGCUCAUUUUUUAAAUGGGUUAUUGAUAUUUUUGAAGUUCAGUUUUUAGAGAUCAGGUGCUGAUCGGAAAUGUCAUAGCUAAGAACUUUUUCCCAGUCUGUAAGUAAUCUUUUUACUCUUUUGGUGAAGCCUUUGGAUAAGCAUAAGUGUUUGAUUUUUAGGAGCUCUCAGUUAUCUGCUUUUUCUUCUGCAUUGUUAGUAAUGUUUUGUAUACUGUUUAUGCCAUAUAUCAGGGCUCCUGACAUUGUCCCUAUUUUUCUUCCAUGAACUUUAUCAUUUUAGAUUUUAUAUUUAGGUCUUUGAUCCAUUUUGAGUUAUUUUUUGUGCAUGGAGUGAGGUAUGGGUCUUGUUUCAUUUUUUUGCAGAUGGAUAUCCAGUUAUCCAACACCGUUUGUUAAACAGACUAUCUUUUCCCCAU
Long non-coding RNA from Loxodonta africana (African savanna elephant), 2635 nucleotides. RefSeq lists it as uncharacterized. The transcript is spliced from 2 exons. NCBI's taxonomy places the organism in Eukaryota, Metazoa, Chordata, Mammalia, Proboscidea, Elephantidae. The record is from RefSeq and is a predicted model, not a curated record.